Molecule: long non-coding RNA, 887 nt
Filed under: Capra hircus (goat)
Lineage: Eukaryota; Metazoa; Chordata; Mammalia; Artiodactyla; Bovidae
Description: lncRNA (ENSCHIG00010014661.1)
Source: RNAcentral
AUGGGACACAGAUUGGAAACAUUAGAAUUGCAUCUGGGGGAGAGGACUCUGGAUUUAUUCCCAAGGACUUACUCAGAUCUUUACACUGGAGUAUUUGAGCUCAGGGAAGCAGUAACUGGCCCAUGGCCCAGCAUCUCCCACACUCCCUCCAGCAGGACCUGCAGGGAAAGCGCACUCGGCCCCUGCAGGCGGCAUCAACGGGAUCAAACAGGAGCCCUGGUGGUGCCAGGCGAACACGGUGAACCGGAAGAACACUCUCUCGGCUCUGAGACCUGUGCUGUCAUUGGAGCCAGAGCGAAGAAAGCGAGCAGGGGCCUAGGCGCUAAACUAAACAGGGCGCCUGCUGCUGAAAGGAGAGACUUAGAUAGGGUCCAGAGUCUCGUCACUCAGUCCUCAAAACGUCCAGGGUACAGAGAUUCACCCAUCACACCAAGAGCCAGAAAAGUCACAACCUGAAUGAGACAAGGCAAUCAACUGAUAUCAGUAUAAAGAUAAACCAAAGAUUUGAAUUAUCUGACAAGGAUUGGACAGCAGCCAUAAUUAAGAAUUGCUUCAGGAGGAGGGACAAAUUGGAAGAUUAGAACUGACAUAUACUCAAUACUAUAUAUUUAAAAAGUAAGUAAUAACUGUGUACCCGGGGAAUUCUACUCAAUACUCUGUAAUGACCCAUAUAGGAAAAGAAGCUAACAAAUAAUAGAUAUAUGUAUAACCAAUUUACUCUGCUGUACAGCAGAAACUAACAAAACAUUGUAAAUCUGUGUUCCAAUAAAUAUUAAUUUAAAAAUUAAAAAUCCAAUUCUUAUUUCACUGAAAAAAAAUGCUUCAAUAAGCGAUUCUAAAUUAUCUCUAAACAAAUGACAAAAUAGAAAACUUCAGCAAAAACAUUU